UGCCCUUUCUCACCCCCAGCCCGCUCUCUGUCUCUGGGCAGCGUAAGGACUUUCGGGGCUAGGCUGUACCCAGAACCCCCACCCCCACCCCACCUGGAGCCGCAGCAGUGGGUGCAGCUGAUCCCCAGUCUGUAACUGCCUUGUUGCACUGCUGGGCUUGCUAAGUAUGAACGAGGAACCUGGGAGCCCCCCGAAUCAGAAACUUAGCAAGCAGCGCGUCCUACUGGGGCAGAAGCAGAAAAAGAAGCGCCAGGAGCCCCUGGCAGAAGCCAAGCCAAAGAAACCCAAAGCAAAGAAGUCCGGGGAGCAGAGUCCUGUGAAGGAGCCCAGCGCCCCUGCCCAGAACUGGGUUUUGCGAGCACCAGAGCAAGGUCCGAAGUGGGUCCCAACAUGAGCAUGGCCUGUGCCGAAGAGGGCAGCGAGGCACAGACAUAUGCAUACUCGAGGCCCUGUGGAUGUGAGGUGCCCUCUGUAUCUG
RNAcentral lists this long non-coding RNA (478 nucleotides) under Crocodylus porosus (Australian saltwater crocodile). RNAcentral's name for it is "lncRNA (ENSCPRG00005003026.1)". Lineage: Eukaryota; Metazoa; Chordata; Crocodylia; Crocodylidae. The record is from RNAcentral.